CGAUAUAGUGGCAGACGGGUGAGUAACGCGUGGGAACGUACCUUUCACUACGGAAUAGCUCUUGGAAACGAGUGGUAAUACCGUAUACGCCCUUCGGGGGAAAGAUUUAUCGGUGAAAGAUCGGCCCGCGUUAGAUUAGCUAGUUGGUAGGGUAAUGGCCUACCAAGGCGACGAUCUAUAGCUGGUCUGAGAGGAUGAUCAGCCACACUGGGACUGAGACACGGCCCAGACUCCUACGGGAGGCAGCAGUGGGGAAUCUUGCACAAUGGGCGAAAGCCUGAUGCAGCCAUGCCGCGUGAAUGAUGAAGGCCUUAGGGUUGUAAAAUUCUUUCGCUAGGGAUGAUAAUGACAGUACCUAGUAAAGAAGCCCCGGCUAACUUCGUGCCAGCAGCCGCGGUAAUACGAAGGGGGCUAGCGUUGUUCGGAAUUACUGGGCGUAAAGCGCAGGUAGGCGGACUUUUAAGUCAGAUGUGAAAUCCCGGGGCUCAACCUCGGAACUGCAUUUGAAACUGGAAGUCUAGAGACCAGGAGAGGUUAGCGGAAUACCGAGUGUAGAGGUGAAAUUCGUAGAUAUUCGGUGGAACACCAGUGGCGAAGGCGGCUAACUGGACUGGUACUGACGCUGAGGUGCGAAAGUGUGGGGAGCAAACAGGAUUAGAUACCCUGGUAGUCCACACCGUAAACGAUGAGAGCUAGUUGUUGGCAGGCAUGCCUGUCGGUGAC
This 723-nucleotide ribosomal RNA is filed under the name uncultured bacterium. Its description in RNAcentral is "bacterial SSU rRNA". It matches the Rfam family "Bacterial small subunit ribosomal RNA", at positions 88 to 847 of the family's 1533-position model. The record is from RNAcentral.